RNAcentral lists this ribosomal RNA (500 nucleotides) under uncultured bacterium. Its description in RNAcentral is "bacterial SSU rRNA". It matches the Rfam family "Bacterial small subunit ribosomal RNA", at positions 899 to 1397 of the family's 1533-position model. The record is from RNAcentral.
ACUCAAAUGAAUAGACGGGGACCCGCACAAGCGGUGGAGCAUGUUGUUUAAUUCGAAGCAACGCGAAGAACCUUACCUACACUUGACAUACCUCUUGGGGCUUUCAGAGAUGAUUGCUUUCGGUUCGGCCGGGGAGAGUACAGGUGCUGCAUGGCUGUCGUCAGCUCGUGUCGUGAGAUGUUGGGUUAAGUCCCGCAACGAGCGCAACCCUUAUCGUAUGUUGCCAGCAUUUAGUUGGGCACUCAUGCGAGACUGCCGGUGAUAAGCCGGAGGAAGGCGGGGAUGACGUCAAGUCAUCAUGGCCCUUACGUGUAGGGCUACAAACGUGCUACAAUGGCGGUGACAAUGGGCAGCAAAGUCGUGAGGCUAAGCUAAUCCCUAAAAGCCGUCUCAGUUCAGAUUGUAGUCUGCAACUCGACUACAUGAAGUUGGAAUCGCUAGUAAUCGUGAAUCAGCAUGUCACGGUGAAUACGUUCCCGGGUCUUGUACACACCGCCCGU